Long non-coding RNA from Oncorhynchus keta (chum salmon), 6654 nucleotides. RefSeq lists it as uncharacterized. The transcript has 3 exons. Lineage: Eukaryota; Metazoa; Chordata; Actinopteri; Salmoniformes; Salmonidae. The record is from RefSeq and is a predicted model, not a curated record.
GGCACUGGUUUGUCGGUACAGUAUCUUUGAUUGGACUGAUCAUAUCAACAUCUUACUUUCACAAUCUUAAUUGUGAAAUAAUGAAGAGAAAUAUAGAUAAAACAUAUCGGUGCUCAUCGGCAGUGCCUAACUGCAAGCGUUGCAGCUGGGAAGUCGGGAAUAAACAGCUCAAACUGGGAAAAUAUAUUUUGAACGGUCAUUCAACUCAGAAUUGUAAAUCUGUCAUCUUUCUCUUUGAUGAUAAAAUUUGUCCACAAGGAGACAGCCGCGCCAUUUUCCUGUUCAAGCAUAUCACAACAAAGGACCUGAGCCCUAGGACCAUGCCCCAGGACUACCUGACAUGAUGACUCCUUGCUGUCCCCAGUCCACCUGGCCAUGCUGCUGCUCCAGUUUCAACUGUUCUGCCUUGUUAUUAUUCGACCAUGCUGGUCAUUUAUGAACAUUUGAACAUCUUGGCCAUGUUCUGUUAUAAUCUCCAUCCGGCACAGCCAGAAGAGGACUGGCCACCCCACAUAGCCUGGUUCCUGUCUAGGUUUCUUCCUAGGUUUUGGCCUUUCUAGGGAGUUUUUCCUAGCCACCGUGCUUCUACACCUGCAUUGCUUGCUGUUUGGGGUUUUAGGCUGGGUUUCUGUACAGCACUUUGAGAUAUUAUUCGCCUACCUCCUCAUGCCUUUUGCACACAUUGUAUAUAGAUUGCCCAUUUUUUUACUACUGUGUUAUUGACUAGUUAAUUGUUUACUCCAUGUGUAACUCUGUGUUGUCUGUUCACACUGCUAUGCUUUAUCUUGGCCAGGUCGCAGUUGCAAAUGAGAACUUGUUCUCAACUAGCCUACCUGGUUAAAUAAAGGGAAAUUCUGCAAAUGUGGAGGUGAACAUGUGCCUGAAUUCUUGGAGAAUGAGGUGGCAAGGGUAAGGAGUGUCCAGUCUCCUAUCUGGAGGUGUUGAGAAAAUCGGAAGGAACGAGUGGUGGGGAAUAAGCAAUGGUAAUAGAGCCACCAAGACCAGUGAAGGCUUCUCAUCAACCAAGGAAUAGUAAAAUGCUACAUGUUAAAAAGGUGGACUUAGUAUUAUUUAUUGCAAUGAUCAUAAACUGUACAGCACAAGCGAAGAAGAAGUCUAACAAAAUUGGAGUCAUUGGAGUCAGGGUGGUGAGGUCUGCCCAACGCAGUACCCGAUGUCACAGGAAGACCAAAAAGAUCAUCAAGGACAACAACCACCCGAGCCACUGCCUUUUCACCCCGCUAUCAUCCAGAAGAGUAGGUCAGUACAGGUGCAUCGAUGCUGGGACCAAGAGACAGAAAGAGUUUUUCUGUCUCAAGUUCAUCAGACUGUUAAAUAGCCAUCACUGGCACAUUAGAGGCUGCUGCCCUAUAUAUAUAGACUUGAAAUCACUGUCCACUUUAAUAAUUGGAAUACUAGUCACUUUAAUAUUGUUUGACAUUUUGCAUUACUCAUCUCGUGUGUGUGCGUGUAUACUGUAUUCUAUCCUAUUCUACUGUAUCUUAGUCUAUGCCGCUCUGACAUUGCUUGUUCAAAUAUUUUUAUAUUCUUAAUUCCAUUCCUUCCACUCCUUACUUUAGAUUGUGGGUAUUGUUAGAUAUUACUUGUUAGAUUUGACUGCACUGUUGGAGCUAGAAACACAAGCAUUUCGCUACAUCUGCAAUAACAUCUGCUAAAUGUGUAUGUGACAAAUUUAAUUUAACCUAUUGGAUUUCGAGGUAAUUUUAUGAGUCAACUAGUGUUAUAACUGGAAGUCUACAGGAACUAUUAGCAUGCUAGCUGGUCCUUCUGUAGCUCAGUUGGUAGAGCAUGGCGCUUGUAACGCCAGGGUAGUGGGUUCGAUCCCCGGGACCACCCAUACGUAGAAUGUAUGCACACAUGACUGUUAGUCGCUUUGGAUAAAAGCAUCUGCUAAAUGGCAUAUAUUUUUAUUAUAUAUAUAUAUAUAUAUAUAUUUCCUGUUCAUCCAACUCUGGGGAAGUAAAUAAAUAGCCUCGUUGCCAAAAUCUCAAACUAUCUUUUUCGUUUGGAAGAAAUGAGUCAUUGGGGCUAAUUACAAGGGGAGCCUUUUUUUGUUGUUGUGGUUAUUCUGUAAAAUUCGUAGGUGGGACAUUUUUAAAUGGUAAUUUUCCGGAUGGAAAAACAGUUUGUCAACUUAAACGACCAAAACCAGAUAGAAAGAAUUCAGAAACAAUAUUGAACUUAAUAUAUUUUGAAUAAUACCAUCUUUGAGAAGGAACAAUCCAAUGAAAACUCCACGGUCAGGGCGAAUCAGAAAUACAAAAAACAGGCAUUCAGGGCACAUGCUUCUUGAUUGUGUUAUGCUUGAGCAGAGGAACACAGCAUUAGCCAUGGCAGAAUGCAUAGAAUUGCAGGAUAUUAUCUUUAAAACUGCAACAUUUUCUCUCUGCUCAAUGAGAAAAUGUGUAGAAUUGCAGAAAAUUUGCUUGACAAAAGCAACAUUUUCUACUUUACCCUUCUAGCUAUAUGGCUGUUCAAGUGUAUACUUCCUCUUCCAAUUAACUGUGGGGAGGUCAAAAUAUACAGUAUGAUGGGGAUCCCUGGGUUGCCGGUUUGCCUAAGUGGGGGUCCUUGGGCACAAAGUUUGAAAACCCCUGUAUAAAAUGGUAUAGGCUACUUUCAGUCAUUAAUUUCUUAGUCUCUCUUUCACUCCUCUCUCAAGAGGACCUGAGCCCUAGAAGCAUGCCUGAUGACUCCUGGCUGUCCACCUGGUCGUGCUGCUGCUCCAGUAUCAACUGUUCUGCUUGUGGCAUAGCACUUUGUGACAUCAGCUGCCGUAAAAAGUGCUUUAGAAAUAGAUUUUAUUGAUAAAUGUUUCAGGGUUAUUUAAUCAGCAUUUAUUAGUAUCAAUUAAUAUUUGAUUAACCUAUUACUAUAAAUAGUUUUUGAUACGAUAUUGAAUUUGGGUUCAGAUUUUGUGACUUAGUAUGUAGUCUUGAACUCACCAAAAUAAAUCCUCUGGCUUCAACCUCAUGAUCAACUCUAAACUUAGAUCUACUUACCUGGGUGAGUUUUAGUUGGAGUAAUGUAUGUGUGUGUGUAAGCUACAUUGAAAUGUUAUUAACUUUUUGUAUUACCAGUCACAUUGCGACUAAUGGAGAAUGAGCAAAUAAUUACGCUAAUAUUCCCUUCUCCUGAGCAAUGUAGCUUUCAUCGGUUGCAAUUUAUGAUCCCUUUUUCCUUAUCAAUGAUUUUCAUUUGCUGUCAAAAUCACCUCCAUUAAGGACAUUUACUGGAAGACCCUGAUCAGACAAGACAAUGACACAGUGGAUGGGAAAUCUAUUAAGACUACAUUUCUUAAUGUUUUUUUACAAUACAAUUUGAACAUGGAUCAGUCACAUUUUGCCUGAUUUAAAUUACAUAAUAAAUUAAUCAAUGAAUCAAAUGGAAAACAGAUUGUAUUUUUGCCUUUGGGUUGUCCCCAAACUUUCUGGUUACACAGCUGGAAUGAGAUUGUAACGGUGCUCUUCUUCCUCCUCCUCUGAAGAGGAGGUGUAGCAGGGAUCGGACCAAAUUGCAGCAUGGUUAUUAUGAUACAUGUUUAAUAAAAGAUUAACAAUACAAUAGAGAGAAUAUAGGAGACGGCACGGGUCAAAAUGAUUGAUUGAUGACCGUACGUCAUGAUGACGUGUACAUGUCUGAAUAUGGGCCUCCGGCCCGUCCCCCCCUGUUCAUGUGUUCACGUGUUAGAGGGUGUGUGUUAUUUUAUAUCUCUAUGGUAUGCUUUGAAGUAGUCCUGUUGUUUGAUGUCUAGGGGGCUGGUUGAACUGGGGAGGGUGGGUGUUGAGUGUUUGAACUUUUGGGACUGUGUAUGUCCCCCCCCCACCCCCAGUUUUAUCUCCCUUAUGGUUGUUAUCUAUGAAGUAGGAAUGUCCAGGGUUAUGUAUCUGGGGCCUAGGCUUUAUAAAUGUCCAGAACAAGCCAUUUUUAAGACCUGAAUAUUAAACAUCUAAAAUAUGUCUACAAGGGGAAUUCUUGGAGUGCUCUGUAGCUCAUGUCAUGAAUCCAAAGCCAAAAGCCUGGAGGAUAUUUUGCUUGAGGCUCCAGAAUGUUUUAAAGGAUUUUUUUGUACAAGCGAGGGACAUAUUUCGUAGAUAUUCAACCCGGAGGAAUCUACGGUUAAGAUAUUCACAGACAGCGUGUUCCAACCCUUUUAUCGUGCAGAACCCGAGCCUUUUUCUCCAGCGCUAAGGAUGCGAGAAUGGCUUAAAAUAAGGCUAGCUUUGUGUCAAAUGGAAUUCGCCCUGAGUGCUUCAAGGAUGCCAGGAUAUGCGUUGGAAGAACAAGUCUGUGGACGAAAUGAUCUGAUGGCUCUGAGAGUCACUUCCAUGGGGUAUACCCCGGACUACUCCUAUGUCAUGAUGACGCGUGCAUGUUUAAAUAUGUACCCCCUCCCCGGCCCCCCUGUUCGUGUGGUCAUGUGUUAGAGGGUGUUUGUUAUUUUAUAUCUAUAUGUCAUGCCUUGAAGUAUUCAAGGUGUUUGAUGAGUAGGGGGGUCUGGUUGUGUGGGGGUGUUUGAGUGUUUGAACUUUUGGGACCAUGUAUGUCCCCCCCACCCGCCAGCUUUAUCUCCCUUAUGUUUGUUAUCUCAUGAAGCAGGAAUGUCUGGGGCUAUAGCGCUGGGGCCUCAGCAUUAUAAAUGUCCAGAACAAGGCUUGCGAACCCAGAACCGUAAACCCUAUGUUUUAAACAUGGAUUUUGCGAUCAGUGGCAAAGCUGUGAUGACUGUAGCAUCGGAGGCAGGACCGCGUCUGAAACAGAAGGGCAAAGUAUACAGCCGCAAUAUACGAUGCACCAAAAAAGCGGUUUCUAAACGUGUAUAGAACCCAGAUACCUCCCGCAACUGCGCUGAAAGAUGAAGUGCUGAUGUCUAAUGGACAGCAUUGGGGGUAUCUGUUUGAUUACUUGGCCUGUCGUGUGAAACUCUAUACGUUAGCCGAAGGAGAAGAAUAUACCGACCAGAAAUUAGGAGUGACUUAUGAGGUUGAAGACUGGACGGUUUUUCGACAGGUUUUGUGUCCCGAACUGAGCCGUAUCACCAAAGGUUACAGCUUGUUCACAGGCUACGAGACACGUUGGGAAGGUACCCCGGACACCUCAGGAAGAGUAUUUCACCGGGUGAAAAUACAGAGAAAGAAUGGACUUCCCUGCGGCUGCGUGGAGUUCUAUAUCAGCACAGCGGAAAUCCGAAACCAAAACAUCAGGGAUGGCGGUUCAGACGGGGAUUUCAGGCUUUGAAUGCUUAUACCCUUUAAAAGCUGGCCUUUAAUGGAAUUGAAAAUGUUGGAGAUGUUGGACGCUCUGUUUGUACAGAGCCAAAAUUGCCAGAGCAUUGUUCGGCUAAAGAAGUGCAUAAUAUAUACGAAUCCGGAGGAUUACGACUCAAAGCAGCCCCAAGAAGGUACAACGUCAGGAGAUGCAGCCCCCAAAGAAACAGAGGUAAGCGGUGUUGUUAACCCCGCCCAGAUACCCAGAGGGCUGGUUCAACAAUAAAAGGAUGGUUCUUAAAACCUACAGUUCUUAACCUACGCAUUGACCAUGGAUAUUCCUAACGCAUACCCGAACUCCGAAAUGGCCAGGGCUCCCGACACUAAGGAUUGUAUGCCUCGCAGCCCUACAUUCUACUCCCCCCUGGCAAGACCCUCGACACCCCCUACAUGUACACAACCUGAGGACGUGUUUGAUGGGGUGGUCAGUACUAUUUUUGUGGACACAAUCAAGGCCUCAGUAGCCACGCUUUUAGACGUGGUGAUUGGAGAAUAUAUACGAGAAAAAUGCAUUGGUUGUGAGAUUAAUCACCCCAGCCAGCGCAGGCAUCCAUGCCUAUACGACCCCCCAAGAUACUACUUCUUCAACAAUUUUGAGGCGCUGGUGAAAAUACUUUGGUCCUGCCGGUUUAUACCAUCGCUGGUCAGAGCCCUGGAGGCUAUGGGCCUUGUGCCGUCUAUCCCCAGAGUUUACGGGGUAACCGAGGCAUUCCUACACGAGCUGAAGGAGGCGAUUCACAUACACGAGAAACUCAAAGAAAUCCGACACACCCUGGUGGAGGAUAACAAAUACAGGGAGGCUGUGGUGUCUGAUGUGAUGACUUUCUGGCUCAAUAAACCCCAAGAGACCGAGUGAUAUUUUUGUUAUUUAGAUGUAGAGCAAUGGGUAACUAUGUGUAUACUAUGUUAGAGAGAAUAAAUACAUUUUUUCUUUUGAGAGAACUUACAAGUGUUAUGCAUCAAAUUAUUGAAAAUAAAGUGAACAAUGUCUCGUUCUACACAAAGCCCAAUUGAAAAUGGACCAAAUCAUGAAUCAUGUACGACAUGCGGGCGAGUGUCUACAAUGGACACAAAUGGUAACCCGGCUUGGUGGUGAUUCUGAAGAACUAGAAACAACCUUGUCUAAGAUUUUACUUUAUUUGUUUGAAACACCCUUUAAUUGUAACAUGUAUCAUAUUUGUUGUUUAUAUACUUUUAUAGCUGAUGUGUCUGUUGUAAAAAUUCAGCGAAACAAACCUGUUAAUCUAAACCAAAUAUACAAGGUUUUACAUGAUUCGAUCAUAGAGAAAGGGGGGGCAUGUAUCCUGCAACGAAUUAUGGAUUGUCUGUAUACGUAAUACCUAAUGUUUUCAUGAAAAUAAAAAUC